AUAUGACUGAAGGAGAAGUGUCAUGGACAUUAAUUCAGAUCCCAGACUAUUGUCAAAUGCAACAGACAAGUUGAGAAGAAUGAAGACCUAAAAAAAGAUUAUGAGAAGCAUCACUUCAUAAAAGAUCAGAAAGCUAUGGAGAGAAAAGUAAGCUUGCGGAAAGUUUGGGUGAGGUUUACAUCUAGGUGGCACAGAGGAUAGAGUACCAGG
Non-coding RNA from Phascolarctos cinereus (koala), 210 nucleotides. NCBI's taxonomy places the organism in Eukaryota, Metazoa, Chordata, Mammalia, Diprotodontia, Phascolarctidae. The record is from RefSeq and is a predicted model, not a curated record.